CCCUUGGCCUUUGACAUACUAAGAACUUUUCCAGAGAUUGGAUUGGUGCCUUCGGGAACUUAGAUACAGGUGCUGCAUUGGCUGUCGUCAGCUCGUGUCGUGAGAUUGUUGGGUUUAAGUCCGCAACGAGCGCAACCCUUUUUCCUUAUUUUGCCAGCGGGUAAUGCCGGGAACUUUAAGGAUACUGCCAGUGACAAACUGGAGGAAGGCGGGGACGACGUCAAGUCAUCAUGGCCCUUACGGCCAGGGCUACACACGUGCUACAAUGGUCGGUACAAAGGGUUGCUACCUCGCGAGAGGAUGCUAAUCUCAAAAAGCCGAUCGUAGUCCGGAUCGCAGUCUGCAACUCGACUGCGUGAAGUCGGAAUCGCUAGUAAUCGCGGAUCAGAAUGCCGCGGUGAAUACGUUCCCGGGCCUUGUACACACCGCCCGUCACACCAUGGGAGUUUGUUGCACCAGAAGUAGGUAGUCUAACCGCAAGGAGGACGCUUACCACGGUGUGGCCGAUGACUGGGGUGAAGUCGUAACAAGGUAGGCGUAGAUGA
Molecule: ribosomal RNA, 545 nt
Filed under: uncultured bacterium
Lineage: Bacteria
Description: bacterial SSU rRNA
Rfam family: Bacterial small subunit ribosomal RNA
Source: RNAcentral